UUUCCGUAGGUGAACCUGCGGAAGGAUCAUUAUUGUAUAAACGAGGUGCGAGAGCUCUCGCUAACCCGAAAGGUCUUGCACGCCCGAGUGCCCUCACACACAUCCAUCUCACCCCUAUGUGCACCACCGCGUGGGUCCCCCUUUGGCUUGUUCGGAGGGGGGCUUACAUUUUCACUCGAACUUUGUAUGCAGUGUAGAAUGUAUUUUUGUUUUUGCGAUCACGCAAUAAAUACAACUUUCAACAACGGAUCUCUUGGCUCUC
This 262-nucleotide unclassified non-coding RNA is filed under the name plant metagenome. RNAcentral's name for it is "partial contains small subunit ribosomal RNA, internal transcribed spacer 1, and 5.8S ribosomal RNA". The record is from RNAcentral.